This 312-nucleotide ribosomal RNA is filed under the name Triticum aestivum (bread wheat). RNAcentral's name for it is "partial small subunit ribosomal RNA". Lineage: Eukaryota; Viridiplantae; Streptophyta; Magnoliopsida; Poales; Poaceae. The record is from RNAcentral.
AUGCUAUCAGUUCCUAGAAGAAAGUGGUGGUCGAGUAGGAAGAGGGAGGAGAUGCAAACAUCACUGCUAAUCCGACCAGUUCAGGAAACACAUAAAGAUAAUAUGUAUCCUUUGAGCAAUAGGAUCAGCUUCAUGUCCAUAUGGUCACUACACAUGCCAUGCAGGCGGCAAGAUAUGGGCAUGUCCAUCUCAAUGACGGCGAGAUCAACGUGGUGCAGCACAACUCUGUCUGAGUCAGCAGCAGCGAAUUGUUUCUACGGAGGUCUAAUCCUUUUCGGUCAUCUUGUGGUAUGUGGAUGGUAUAUUUUAUGA